This 497-nucleotide ribosomal RNA is filed under the name uncultured bacterium. RNAcentral's name for it is "partial 16S ribosomal RNA". It matches the Rfam family "Bacterial small subunit ribosomal RNA", at positions 28 to 507 of the family's 1533-position model. The record is from RNAcentral.
GAUGAACGCUGGCGGCGUGCCUAAUACAUGCAAGUCGAGCGAACGGACGAGAAGCUUGCUUCUCUGAUGUUAGCGGCGGACGGGUGAGUAACACGUGGAUAACCUACCUAUAAGACUGGGAUAACUUCGGGAAACCGGAGCUAAUACCGGAUAAUAUUUUGAACCGCAUGGUUCAAAAGUGAAAGACGGUAUUGCUGUCACUUAUAGAUGGAUCCGCGCCGCAUUAGCUAGUUGGUAAGGUAACGGCUUACCAAGGCAACGAUGCAUAGCCGACCCGAGAUGGUGAUCGGCCACACUGGAACUGAGACACGGUCCAGACGCCUACGGGAGGCAGCAGUAGGGAAUCUUCCGCAAUGGGCGAAAGCCUGACGGAUCAACGCCGCGUGAGUGAUGAAGGUCUUCGGAUCGUAAAACUCUGUUAAUAGGGAAGAACAAAUGUGUAAGUAACUUUGCACUUCUUGACGGUACCUAAUCAGAAAGCCACGGCUAACUACGUG